GCUGUUGGGGUCCAGCCCGGCGUCCCCCAGGCCACACAGGCUGUGGGUGAGCAGGGCCGGCCUCACCAGAGCUCUGGUACCUUUCAAAGCUUGGAAGAAAGAGAGAGUUCCCGGUUUACGGCAUGGAUGUAAAAAGCCACAGAUGACAAGACAUCAGUGGGAGUGUCAUUUGUUCCACCAGGACAAAAGGAAUACAUUUCUAAUGUGUGCAAGGAAGCAAAAAACAGAGAGCCCAGAGGUGUCUGAAAUGAGGAUGUAUUUGGAUUUAGCCAGAGAAGAAUGGUGGAACUGCCUUCUGCUGAUGGUCUGUGGCAUUGUGUCAAUACUUUGGAUGCCCCAAAAGAGAGAAUAAGUGUGAGCAGCAUUUUCUUAUGGUCUCUGUCCAUUGUUCCCGGAGAAAUUUACAGUCAGUGGAAGAACCACAGAAACCAUAAAAGCAGACACAUCUUUUGCCUUUUUUUUUUUUUUUUUUUUUAAUACUGGAGUAAUUAAAACAUUCACCUGCUACAAGC
Cyanistes caeruleus (blue tit) is the source of this 512-nucleotide long non-coding RNA. RefSeq lists it as uncharacterized. Lineage: Eukaryota; Metazoa; Chordata; Aves; Passeriformes; Paridae. The record is from RefSeq and is a predicted model, not a curated record.